AGCCAUGCAGUAAGCACAAAGCGAACUAUUCUUUCGCCUUUUACUAAAGAAUACCGUGUGCUUGCUGCUUAUAGUGGCAUACAGUAAUUUUUGGAAGGGCCAAGUUCUUCUUAGAGUUG
RNAcentral lists this small nuclear RNA (119 nucleotides) under Ricinus communis (castor bean). RNAcentral describes it as "U5 spliceosomal RNA". It matches the Rfam family "U5 spliceosomal RNA". From Rfam's summary of the family: U5 RNA is a component of both types of known spliceosome. The precise function of this molecule is unknown, though it is known that the 5' loop is required for splice site selection and p220 binding, and that both the 3' stem-loop and the Sm site are important for Sm protein binding and cap methylation. The record is from Rfam by way of RNAcentral. Lineage: Eukaryota; Viridiplantae; Streptophyta; Magnoliopsida; Malpighiales; Euphorbiaceae.